UGCCCAUGUGGGGCAGGGGAAUGAAAUUGCAAUAAAGGAAAAAAAGAAAAGAUUAGCAUGGCCCCUAGGCAAGGAAGACACACAAAAUCGUGAAGUGUUCCACAUAUUU
Small nuclear RNA from Schistocerca americana (American grasshopper), 109 nucleotides. The record is from RefSeq and is a predicted model, not a curated record. Lineage: Eukaryota; Metazoa; Arthropoda; Insecta; Orthoptera; Acrididae.